RNAcentral lists this ribosomal RNA (125 nucleotides) under Meira sp. (in: smut fungi & allies). Its description in RNAcentral is "Meira sp. partial small subunit ribosomal RNA". It matches the Rfam family "Eukaryotic small subunit ribosomal RNA", at positions 1657 to 1779 of the family's 1831-position model. The record is from RNAcentral. Lineage: Eukaryota; Fungi; Basidiomycota; Exobasidiomycetes; Exobasidiales; Brachybasidiaceae.
CCUUUGUACACACCGCCUGUCGCUACUACCGAUUGAAUGGUUUAGUGAGCCCUUGGGAUUGGCGUUUGGGAGCCAGCAAUGGCACCUGAUUGCUGAAAACUUGGGCAAACUUGAUCAUUUAGAGG